GGGAGGGGGAGUGGUCCAGCUCCUUCCCUCCCUCCUUCUCUUCCUCCUCCCCUUCUCCAUCUUCCCUCCCUCUAGCUCUCCGCCUCUCCUGCUUCUCUUGCCACCACCGCCCUCCCGCCAGCCUCUUCUCUGAUUGCUAGCUGCAUCCCUCCAGAUUGUGCCGAAGGGGACGAGCUGGAGAGCUCAGUGAGCGGCGCGAGGGCCACUGACGGCAGGAGAGCCAGAGCUAGCCGUGGGAGCUCCGGAACACACUGCGCACAGCUGGAGAGGCCUGGUCCAGCAGAGCCUGUCUUCAGGAGUACCUGUAGAUCCUAACCAGGUGACCUGUAAGUAUGAUCUACUUUUUCUUCUUCCUCAGUUAUUUUGAUAAUUGAGUAUUGAUCUAUCAAUAGAAA
Phascolarctos cinereus (koala) is the source of this 395-nucleotide long non-coding RNA. The record is from Ensembl. NCBI's taxonomy places the organism in Eukaryota, Metazoa, Chordata, Mammalia, Diprotodontia, Phascolarctidae.